RNAcentral lists this unclassified non-coding RNA (414 nucleotides) under Hevea brasiliensis (rubber tree). Lineage: Eukaryota; Viridiplantae; Streptophyta; Magnoliopsida; Malpighiales; Euphorbiaceae. The record is from RNAcentral.
AAUAGACCUAUUUAUCUUUUCAGGUUAAAAGUAAGGUUUAAAUAGAGACCUCAUAAAUAUUUCAGUUUUACUAAACCAAAGCCCAUCAUUAACAGGUUAUCUUUAGUGCAGGCAGCCAAGAGUUUGAAUAUAAUUUAUGCAUGAUUGAUAAAUAAUAAUAGCUCUAAGUAUAGGUUGAUGAUUAUUUGAACAAAGAGAGAAGAAAAAAAUUGCAAGCCUUGUUAGCAUUGAUCAAGAAAUGUGGCAUCUAUAUUGAUUUGAACCUAGAUUGAAUUAUCUGAACCAUUCAACCAAAUUAACAAGAAUGGUACUCUUCCAGAAUAGUCUAUUUUGGUCGUCCGUUUGAUAGCGGAAAAGAAGAAUUCAGUUUCAGAACAUUUUGAUUCUGUUAAAUUUCUUGAUGUUUCUUGGUUG